RNAcentral lists this transfer RNA (86 nucleotides) under Nitrospinota bacterium. RNAcentral describes it as "tRNA-Ser". It matches the Rfam family "tRNA". Rfam says of the family: Transfer RNA (tRNA) molecules are approximately 80 nucleotides in length. Their secondary structure includes four short double-helical elements and three loops (D, anti-codon, and T loops). Further hydrogen bonds mediate the characteristic L-shaped molecular structure. tRNAs have two regions of fundamental functional importance: the anti-codon, which is responsible for specific mRNA codon recognition, and the 3' end, to which the tRNAs corresponding amino acid is attached (by aminoacyl-tRNA synthetases). tRNAs cope with the degeneracy of the genetic code in two manners: having more than one tRNA (with a specific anti-codon) for a particular amino acid; and 'wobble' base-pairing, i.e. permitting non-standard base-pairing at the 3rd anti-codon position. The record is from RNAcentral. Lineage: Bacteria; Pseudomonadati; Nitrospinota.
GGAGGGGUGGCCGAGUGGUCUAUGGCGGCGGUCUUGAAAACCGUUGAACGAAAGUUCCGGGGGUUCGAAUCCCUUCCCCUCCGCCA